UUUUUUGUGUAGCGGACACGCCGCACAGAUUCAAAGUUCUCAGGAGUGUGGGGAACGGUCUUGCGACCUUGUAGUAAUGAUCCAUCCGCAGGUUCACCUACGGAUA
This 106-nucleotide unclassified non-coding RNA is filed under the name uncultured fungus. RNAcentral describes it as "sequence contains ITS1". The record is from RNAcentral. Lineage: Eukaryota; Fungi.